Molecule: ribosomal RNA, 253 nt
Filed under: uncultured bacterium
Lineage: Bacteria
Description: partial 16S ribosomal RNA
Rfam family: Bacterial small subunit ribosomal RNA
Source: RNAcentral
UACGAAGGGGGCUAGCGUUGUUCGGAUUUACUGGGCGUAAAGGGCGCGUAGGCGGGCGACUAAGUCAGGGGUGAAAUCCCAAGGCUCAACCUUGGAACUGCCUUUGAUACUGGUUGUCUUGAGUCCGGGAGAGGUGAGUGGAACUGCGAGUGUAGAGGUGAAAUUCGUAGAUAUUCGCAAGAACACCAGUGGCGAAGGCGGCUCACUGGCCCGAUACUGACGCUGAGGCACGAAAGCGUGGGGAGCAAACAGG